GAGAACUUCAGCAAGCAUCAGCAUGAGAUAAUUACUCAAUCUCUUCAAUCGGAGAAAUACUUGAAAGUUCAAAAGAUUCAAGGCAACUCUCAACAAAAUGGAAACAAAGAAAGCAAUUACUACAGAGAUCUUCAAGAGACUCUUGCCAAAAGUGUAUCAGCGAAACAAUCUCCGGGCGAUACAGUAGCUCAGACUUUAGACAGCAAUCAUAUCCAUAAAUCCCAUCUAAUUAGUUUGUCAUCCAAAG
RNAcentral lists this unclassified non-coding RNA (247 nucleotides) under Hevea brasiliensis (rubber tree). The record is from RNAcentral. Lineage: Eukaryota; Viridiplantae; Streptophyta; Magnoliopsida; Malpighiales; Euphorbiaceae.